Molecule: transfer RNA, 94 nt
Filed under: Verrucomicrobiota bacterium
Lineage: Bacteria; Pseudomonadati; Verrucomicrobiota
Description: tRNA-Ser
Rfam family: tRNA
About the family: Transfer RNA (tRNA) molecules are approximately 80 nucleotides in length.
Source: RNAcentral
GGAGAGAUGGCUGAGUGGCCGAAAGCAACGGUUUGCUAAACCGUCGUACUGGUAUAAGCCGGUACCGAGGGUUCGAAUCCCUCUCUCUCCGCCA